RNAcentral lists this non-coding RNA (102 nucleotides) under Alkaliphilus metalliredigens. RNAcentral's name for it is "Guanine sequence". It matches the Rfam family "Purine riboswitch aptamer". Rfam says of the family: Riboswitches are metabolite binding domains within certain messenger RNAs that serve as precision sensors for their corresponding targets. Allosteric rearrangement of mRNA structure is mediated by ligand binding, and this results in modulation of gene expression. Lineage: Bacteria; Bacillati; Bacillota; Clostridia; Peptostreptococcales; Natronincolaceae. RNAcentral also lists the same sequence under 1 other name. The record is from RNAcentral.
AAUUACAUUGUAUAACACACUCAUAUAAUGCCGAAAAUAAGGUUCGGAAGUUUCUACCGGAUGACCGUAAAUCAUCUGACUAUGGGUGAAAUUAUUAUAGGA